UUUCCUAGCUAUAUUUUAAGCAAGCUCACAUACAUAGAACAUAUCAAUUCUACCAUACACGUAAGUCAAACAAAAGCGUUAGAGCCAAUAAUAACAUGGAAUUGAAAACCCAUUAACCAAUUUAUUAACAUACUACCUCUGUAUUCUUAAUUUAUCAAAUUGAUUAAAAUUACUAAUUCUCUUAUAUAUGACAAUACCCCUCCCACUCCAGAAUGAUAAAAAAUUAAAAAUAA
This 233-nucleotide long non-coding RNA is filed under the name Malus domestica (apple). RNAcentral's name for it is "long non-coding RNA (MDOM_LNC012206)". The record is from RNAcentral. Lineage: Eukaryota; Viridiplantae; Streptophyta; Magnoliopsida; Rosales; Rosaceae.